RNAcentral lists this unclassified non-coding RNA (392 nucleotides) under soil metagenome. Its description in RNAcentral is "partial contains 5.8S ribosomal RNA, internal transcribed spacer 2, and large subunit ribosomal RNA". The stretch from base 1 to 122 matches the Rfam family "5.8S ribosomal RNA", at positions 35 to 154 of the family's 154-position model. The record is from RNAcentral.
GAUGAAGAACGUAGCGAAAUGCGACACUUGGUGUGAAUUGCAGAAUCCCGUGAACCAUCGAGUCUUUGAACGCAAGUUGCGCCCGAAGCCAUUAGGCCGAGGGCACGCCUGCCUGGGCGUCACACGUCGUUGCCCCCCCCAUCUACUCCUUCGGGAUUGCGGGGGGCGGAUGAUGGCCUCCCGUGCGCCUCGCCGCGCGGUUGGCAUAAAUGCCAAGUCCUCGGCGAUGCACGCCACGACAAUCGGUGGUUGCGAAACCUCGGUUGCCCGUCGUGUGCGGUCGUCGCGCAUCGAGGGCUCGAAAAAAUUGCCGGGUUCCGGCUCGGCUUUCAACGCGACCCCAGGUCAGGCGGGGUUACCCGCUGAAUUUAAGCAUAUCAAUAAGCGGAGGA